UAGGACCUACGGGAGGCAGCAGUGGGGAAUAUUGGGCAAUGGGCGCAAGCCUGACCCAGCAACGCCGCGUGAAGGAAGAAGGCUUUCGGGUUGUAAACUUCUUUUAAGAGGGAAGAGAAGAAGACGGUACCUCUUGAAUAAGCCACGGCUAACUACGUGCCAGCAGCCGCGGUAAUACGUAGGUGGCAAGCGUUAUCCGGAUUUAUUGGGUGUAAAGGGCGUGUAGGCGGGAAUGCAAGUCAGAUGUGAAAACUAUGGGCUCAACCCAUAGCCUGCAUUUGAAACUGUAUUUCUUGAGUGCUGGG
RNAcentral lists this ribosomal RNA (305 nucleotides) under uncultured bacterium. RNAcentral describes it as "bacterial SSU rRNA". It matches the Rfam family "Bacterial small subunit ribosomal RNA", at positions 331 to 653 of the family's 1533-position model. The record is from RNAcentral.